AGUGAACGCUGGCGGCAUGCCUAACACAUGCAAGUCGAACGAGGGCUUCGGCCUUAGUGGCGCACGGGUGAGUAACACGUGGGAACCUGCCUUUCGGUUCGGGAUAACGUCUGGAAACGGACGCUAACACCGGAUACGCCCUUCGGGGGAAAGUUUACGCCGAGAGAGGGGCCCGCGCCCGAUUAGGUAGUUGGUGGGGUAACGGCCUACCAAGCCGACGACCGGUAGCUGGUCUGAGAGGAUGAUCAGCCACACUGGGACUGAGACACGGCCCAGACUCCUACGGGAGGCAGCAGUGGGGAAUAUUGGACAAUGGGGGCAACCCUGAUCCAGCAAUGCCGCGUGAGUGAUGAAGGCCUUCGGGUUGUAAAGCUCUUUCGCACGCGACGAUGAUGACGGUAGCGUGAGAAGAAGCCCCGGCUAACUUCGUGCCAGCCGCCGCCGUAA
Molecule: ribosomal RNA, 447 nt
Filed under: uncultured bacterium
Lineage: Bacteria
Description: partial 16S ribosomal RNA
Rfam family: Bacterial small subunit ribosomal RNA
Source: RNAcentral